This 512-nucleotide ribosomal RNA is filed under the name uncultured Pseudomonadota bacterium. RNAcentral's name for it is "bacterial SSU rRNA". It matches the Rfam family "Bacterial small subunit ribosomal RNA", at positions 392 to 896 of the family's 1533-position model. Lineage: Bacteria; Pseudomonadati; Pseudomonadota. The record is from RNAcentral.
CCAUGCCGCGUGUGUGAAGAAGGCCUUCGGGUUGUAAAGCACUUUGUUCGGGAAGAAGUCUUCCGACCUAAUACGUCGGGAGGAUGACGGUACCGAAAGAAUAAGCACCGGCUAACUUCGUGCCAGCAGCCGCGGUAAUACGAAGGGUGCAAGCGUUACUCGGAAUUACUGGGCGUAAAGCGUGCGUAGGUGGUUCGUUAAGUCUGCCGUGAAAGCCCCGGGCUCAACCUGGGAAUGGCGGUGGAUACUGGCGGACUAGAGUGCGGUUGAGGGUGGUGGAACUCCCGGUGUAGCAGUGAAAUGCGUAGAGAUCGGGAGGAACAUCUGUGGCGAAGGCGGCCACCUGGACCAGCACUGACACUGAGGCACGAAAGCGUGGGGAGCAAACAGGAUUAGAUACCCUGGUAGUCCACGCCCUAAACGAUGCGGACUGGACGUUGGGCUCAAUUAGGAGCUCAGUGUCGAAGCUAACGCGUUAAGUCCGCCGCCUGGGGAGUACGGUCGCAAGACUG